This 328-nucleotide long non-coding RNA is filed under the name Vitis vinifera (wine grape). RNAcentral's name for it is "long non-coding RNA (VVIN_LNC004688)". Lineage: Eukaryota; Viridiplantae; Streptophyta; Magnoliopsida; Vitales; Vitaceae. The record is from RNAcentral.
AGAAGCAUAAUAUAAAUAAAUAAUAACGAUAAUAAGAAUAAUAAAGAUAAUGAUAAAAAAAAAUAAUGAUUACAAUAAUAAAAAAUGAUAAUAAUAAUAUUGAUAAUAACAAAACAACUAAUAAUACUAGUACUAAUAAUAAUAAUAAUAUAAGAUCUCCAAUCACCUACAAUUUUUUGAAAAUAAAUAAGUGGAUGAAUAAAUAAAUAAAACAAGAAAAAUAAAUAAAUACCACACGAACGUAACAAUAAUCUAAAUAUUAAACUAAAGCACAAAAAUAAAAAUAAAAUAUCAAGCAUAUACAAUUAGACAUCAAAAAUUCCUCUCG